GCCAGGUGUGGUGGCGCGCACCUGUAGUCCCAGCUACUUGGGAGGCUGAGGCAGGAGAGUUGCUUGAACCUAGGAGGCAGAGGUUGCAGUGAGCCAAGAUUGUGCCACUGCAGUCCAGCCUGGGCAACAGAGUGAGACUCUGUCUCAA
This 148-nucleotide small RNA is filed under the name Pongo abelii (Sumatran orangutan). RNAcentral's name for it is "Metazoan signal recognition particle RNA (ENSPPYG00000031382.1)". The record is from Rfam by way of RNAcentral. Lineage: Eukaryota; Metazoa; Chordata; Mammalia; Primates; Hominidae.